RNA transcript from Diospyros lotus (date-plum), 3621 nucleotides. It is a transcript of the gene named ethylene receptor 2-like, with no coding region annotated. NCBI's taxonomy places the organism in Eukaryota, Viridiplantae, Streptophyta, Magnoliopsida, Ericales, Ebenaceae. The record is from RefSeq and is a predicted model, not a curated record. The transcript is spliced from 4 exons.
CCCCCCUCCGCCUCUCUCUCUCUCUCUCUCUCUCUCUCUAUAUAUAUGUAUAUUUAUAAGCACCCACUCUGGUCUUUCUGUCUCUCGGACGCGCUCUCUGAAACUCUGAAAACCCAAAUAGAAGAGCCAACGAAUUUGAUCAUGAAAUAAACAAUAAUCUAAUUUCUUUUCCGACAGAGAGCUGAAGGACUCGCUACUUCUGGCCGGGCCCUCCAUCUGCUGCUUCAAGAACAGAAUCACCGGUUUACGCGGCGCGAGGUGGCCGGCUCUCUUAAAAAGAAAAACUUUUGGCCAUUCUUUUCUGGGAUUUGCAUUCCGUAAGUCCUUAGGUUUUUGUUGGGAUUUGUUGUCUGUUCUUUUUCAGGGUUGGUGCUAGUGGAAGAGGAGUUGGCUCAAGGCUGAUUGUUGUAAAUGCACACCUAGAGAUUUGGUCUUCCGUGUUUUCUUGAUUAGAUUUGUAUAAGAAACUGUUGUUGAUGGUGGAAUAAUUUCAGACAUAUAUAUAGAUAUGUAUAUGUCGGCUUGUGAACGGAAGAUAAGAUCUGGAAGAUUGUCUGGUUCAAGAAUCAAGAUCAGGGUCCUUGUUUCUUCAGGGUAAAUGAGGAGGAUCGGAAGUUUAAUUUGGUGCUGAGGUUUUGAGUCAAUUUGGGGCUAGCAAAAGACUCACAAUUACCCAUAGAUGGAUUGAGGAGUGAAGACUCAAGCCAUUGAACGCAAUGUUAAAGACUUUAGCAUCUGUGAUAUUAAUUUCUUCGUUCCUGUCUUCCGCUUCUUCUGCUGAUAAUGGGUAUCCUCGUUGUGAUUGCACCGUGGAGGGGUUUCUGAGUGCUGAAAGCAUAAUGCAAUGCCAGAAAGCUAGUGAUCUCUUGAUUGCGGUGGCCUAUUUCUCCAUUCCAAUUGAACUCCUUUACUUCGUUAGUUGCUCAAAUUUACCAUUCAAAUGGGUGCUCUUUGAAUUCAUUGCGUUCAUUGUUCUCUGUGGGAUGACCCAUUUGCUCACUGGCUGGACUUAUGGUCCACAUUCCUUUCAUCUAAUGCUAGCCCUCACCGUGUUCAAGUUCCUCACGGCUCUGGUUUCCUUCGCCACCGCCAUAACUCUCCUCACUCUUUUCCCUUUGCUUCUCAAAGUGAAGGUUAGAGAGCUUUUGUUGAAGAAGAAAGCUUGGGAUCUUGGCCGGGAGGUUGGGAUCAUAAAGAAACGGAGAGAAGCGGGGUGGUGUGUUCGGAUGCUUACCCAAGAGAUUCGCAGGUCCCUCAACCGGCAUACAAUUUUGGACACAACUCUGGUUGAGCUAUCUAAGACACUAGAUUUGCAGAACUGUGCUGUUUGGAUGCCUAAUGAGGAUAGAACAGAGAUGGUCCUGACCCGUGACCUGAAGACGAUUGGUUCGUAUAUGUGUAAAGCCUCUAUCCCAAUUGGUGAUCCGGAUGUUAGGGAGAUCAAGGGGAGUGAACAAGUGAAGAUGCUUGGACCCGGCUCCGCACUUGCUGCUUCUAGUGCUCGGGGGUGCGUGGAGUUUGGACCUGUGGCGGCUAUUAGGAUGCCAAUGCUUACAGUUGCUGACUUCAAAGGUGGGACCCCUCAGAUGAUUCAAACUUGCUAUGCUGUACUGGUUUUGGUUCUUCCUGGUGGGCAAGAUAGAUGGUGGAGCAAUGAGGAACUGGAGAUUGUAAAGGUGGUGGCUGCUCAGGUUGCUGUGGCUAUCUCCCAUGCUGCAGUUUUUGAAGAGUCCCAUCGUAUGAGAAAUCAGCUGGUUGAGCGAAAUCGAGUGUUGCAAUGGGCAAGGCAGGACGCAAUGAUGGCAAGCCAGGCGAGGAACUCAUUUCAGCAGGUUAUGAAUGAUGGGAUGAGGAGACCGAUGCACUCUAUUUUGGGUUUGCUUUCGUUGAUGCAGGACGAGAAACUGAGUAGCGAGCUACAGAUUCUUGUCAAGGCAAUGGUUAAGACCAGCAGUGUGCUCUCUACCGUGAUAGACGAUGUAAUGGAUAUCUCAAUCAAGAAUAAUGGGAGGUUCCCAUUACAAAUGAGGUCUUUCCAGCUGCACUCCAUGAUAAAAGAAGCUGCUUGCCUUGCAAGGUGCCUGUGUGUUUUUCGGGGAUAUGAAUUUGAAAUUGAGGUUGAGAAAUCUUUGCCAAAUCACGUUAUGGGUGAUGAUAGAAGGGUUUUUCAGGUGAUCUUGAAUCUGCUUGGGGAUCUCUUGAGUGGAAAUGGAGGAGGUGGGUGUGUGACAUUUCGGGUUUCCUCUGACCGUGGAAGUCGGGAUCGGAAUGCGGCAAAGUGGGCAACGUGGAGACCAAUCUUGUCUGAUGGCUAUGUUUGUGUAAGGUUUGAAAUUGGUAUUAGAACUAACGACUCCACAUUGGGUGUGCAGUUUGGUGGCCAGAGCUACUGCAGCGAUGCAAUUGAGGAAUGCUUGAGCUUCAACGUGUGCGAAAGGCUUGUACAGUUGAUGCAAGGCCACAUAUUCGUAGUCCCAAAUUCAGAUGGUUUCGGUCAAAGCAUCACAGUCACGCUUCAUUUUCAUCUCUCGCCACCAAUUGAAAUAGGCCUCUCUGAAACUGGAGAUUCUUCCGACCAUCCACACUCUAACUCCCUCUUCCGGGGCCUUCAAGUUCUAGUAGUCGAUGGUGAUGACAUGAACAGGGCAGUGACCCGGAAGCUCCUUAAAAGUCUUGGCUGCAUGGUCUCUGAUGUUGCGUCUGGAUAUGAAUGCCUCAAUGCUGUUGGCUCGGGCGUCCCUUCCUUCCAAAUUUUACUUUUGGAUCUUCACCUGCAAGAUUUGGAUGCCCUCCAAAUUGCCGUUGCAAUUCGAAAAUUUCGCACCCAUAGCUGGCCAUUGAUCAUCGCGUUAACUUCCAGUGCAGUUGAAGACAUUUGGGAGAGAUGCCUGCAGAUUGGGAUGAAUGGAGUUCUUAGGAAACCAGUUCUUUUGGAGGGAAUGGCUGAGGAACUUCGACGAGUGCUAAUGCUGCCAAACAGAGAUGCGUGAUGACAUGUGCGAAGCUACUACAUCAUGUGGCAGGAACUGGAGAAAGAGAAUACAGAUGCAGCAUUGCCAUGGUGAACACAGCCUUGCAUCACCAAAUUCUAGCAUAGCGAUAUUAGACAACAGAUAUAGGGCCUUGAGAGAGAGGUUAGAAUUGGCCACUUCGGAAUAUUGGGGACUGGUUGCCUCACUUCUUUUCCAGUCAAUUCCACCAUGGUUUUUGGUGAUGGCUCACCUACUUAUUCAAUGAAUCCCAGCUUCCCACUGCCUUCAACCGCUCUUCAAAGUCCGAACAGUUUCAGCUUUUCCCUUUUAUCGUCCAUCUUUGUCAAUUGUGGUUGCGUAAAGGAAGCUCUCCUGUGCUUGCAUAUGACAAAGUUGUUAUAUCUGGAUUCCAUCAUUAUCAUCACAAGCUUUACUGUGUGUUUCAGAGAGGAUGGAAUGGAAAAGGAUGGAAAUAUUCUUCUUUAUUAUGUUAAAUCAUGCCUUGGUUUCUGGGGAAGACGGAUAUAUAAUAUGAGAAUGGAAUACACUUGGAUGAAAGUAUUUUGGGUAAAUUUCACCUGUCAUCUUCAAGGUUUGCCUAAAUUGCACUAAUCACCUUUAUAUUUUUAGAUAAUUUUUUGUAGUCAAA